GCUCGGUGUAAGCACUUCAGUCGUGAGAAGUAGGUAGUAUAGCUGCAUAUGACGUAGCGACGAGAGCACGGCUAACUCGUGCAGCAGCGCGUAUACGAGGUGCGAGCGUAAUCGAAUACUGGCGUAAGGCCAUGCAGGUGUUUGUUAGUCGAUGUGAAAGCCGGGGCUCACCUGGAAUUGCAUUGAACUGCAGCUGAGUACGAGAGGGGGGUGAAUUUCAGGUGGAGCGGUGAAUGCGUAGAGAUUGAAGGAAAUCCGGUGGCGAAGGCGGCCCCCUGGACAGAUACUGACACUCAGAUGCGAAAGCGUGGGGAGCAAACAGGAUUAGAUUCCCUGGUAGUCCACGCCGUAAACGAUGUCUACUUGGAAGUUGUGGCCUUGAACCGUGGCUUUUGGAACUAACGCGUUAAGUAGACCGCCUGGGGAGUACGGUUGCAAGAUUAAAACUCAAAUGAAUUGACGGGGGCCCGCACCAGCGGUGGAGCAUGUGGUUUAAUUUGAUGCAACGCGAAGAACCUUACCUACUUUUGACAUCCAGAGAACUUUCCAGAGAUGGAUUGGUGCCUUUGGGAACUUUGAGACCGGUGGUGCAUGGCUGUUGUCAGCUUGUGUUGUGAAAUGUUGGGUUAAGUCCCGCAACGAGCGCCACCCUUAUCCUUGUUUGCCAGCGAGUAAUGUCGGGAACUCCAGGGAGACUGCCGGUGAUAAACCGGAGGAAGGUGGGGACGACGUCAAGUCAUCAUGGCCCUUACGAGUAGGGCUACACACGUGCUACAAUGGCGCAUACAGAGGGCGGCCAACUUGCGAGAGUGAGCGAAUCCCAAAAAGUGCGUCGUAGUCCGGAUCGGAGUCUGCAACUCGACUCCGUGAAGUCGGAAUCGCUAGUAAUCGUGGAUCAGAAUGCCACGGUGAAUACGUUCCCGGGCCUUGUACACACCGCCCGUCACACCAUGGGAGUGGGCUGCAAAAGAAGUAGGUAGUUUAACCUUCGGGAGGACGCUUACCACUUGGUAA
Molecule: ribosomal RNA, 1014 nt
Filed under: Vibrio sp.
Lineage: Bacteria; Pseudomonadati; Pseudomonadota; Gammaproteobacteria; Vibrionales; Vibrionaceae
Description: bacterial SSU rRNA
Rfam family: Bacterial small subunit ribosomal RNA
Source: RNAcentral